RNAcentral lists this ribosomal RNA (253 nucleotides) under uncultured bacterium. RNAcentral's name for it is "partial 16S ribosomal RNA". It matches the Rfam family "Bacterial small subunit ribosomal RNA", at positions 524 to 776 of the family's 1533-position model. The record is from RNAcentral.
UACGUAGGGUGCGAGCGUUGUCCGGAAUUAUUGGGCGUAAAGGGCUCGUAGGCGGUUUGUCGCGUCGGGAGUGAAAACACACAGCUUAACUGUGUGCUUGCUUCCGAUACGGGCAGACUAGAGGUAUGCAGGGGAGAACGGAAUUCCUGGUGUAGCGGUGAAAUGCGCAGAUAUCAGGAGGAACACCGGUGGCGAAGGCGGUUCUCUGGGCAUUACCUGACGCUGAGGCGCGAAAGCGUGGGGAGCAAACGGG